GCCCAGGUGGUGAAAUUGGUAGACACGCACGCUUGAGGGGCGUGUGCCGCAAGGUGUGCUGGUUCAAGUCCAGUCCUGGGCACCA
RNAcentral lists this transfer RNA (85 nucleotides) under Halobacteriovoraceae bacterium. RNAcentral describes it as "tRNA-Leu". It matches the Rfam family "tRNA". From Rfam's summary of the family: Transfer RNA (tRNA) molecules are approximately 80 nucleotides in length. Their secondary structure includes four short double-helical elements and three loops (D, anti-codon, and T loops). The record is from RNAcentral. Lineage: Bacteria; Pseudomonadati; Bdellovibrionota; Bacteriovoracia; Bacteriovoracales; Halobacteriovoraceae.